Molecule: ribosomal RNA, 357 nt
Filed under: uncultured bacterium
Lineage: Bacteria
Description: bacterial SSU rRNA
Rfam family: Bacterial small subunit ribosomal RNA
Source: RNAcentral
GGGCUCACACAAGCGGUGGAGGAUGUGGCUUAAUUCGAGGAUACGCGAAGAACCUUAUCCUGGUCUUGACAUGUUUAGGAACCUCGGUGAAAGUCGAGGGUGCCCUUCGGGAGCCUUUACACAGGUGCUGCAUGGCCGUCGUCAGCUCGUGUCGUGAGGUGUCAGUUAAGUCCUAUAACGAGCGCAACCCCUAUCGUUAGUUGCCAGCGGGUAAUGCCGGGAACUCUAACGAAACUGCCAGUGCAAACUGUGAGGAAGGUGGGGAUGACGUCAAAUCAUCACGGCCCUUACGUCCUGGGCUACACACGUGCUACAAUGGCCGGUACAGAGAGCAGCCACUGCGCGAGCAGGAGCGAA